This 72-nucleotide transfer RNA is filed under the name Debaryomyces hansenii. It matches the Rfam family "tRNA". From Rfam's summary of the family: Transfer RNA (tRNA) molecules are approximately 80 nucleotides in length. Their secondary structure includes four short double-helical elements and three loops (D, anti-codon, and T loops). RNAcentral also lists the same sequence under 1 other name. The record is from Rfam by way of RNAcentral. Lineage: Eukaryota; Fungi; Ascomycota; Pichiomycetes; Serinales; Debaryomycetaceae.
GGUCUUGUAGUGUAGUGGUUAUCACACUAGUUUCUGAUACUGGUGACCUGGGUUCGAUUCCCAGCAGGACCU